GGUCGGGUAUCUUGCCAAGUCGGACCCUACAUAUAUUUGAGAUGUUAACCGCAAUUGGAAUGAAAACAAAACUGUCUAAUAUAGUCAAAAUGUGCUCAUCACUCUGACUUUGAUUCAGAAGUAGUUGCAGUGUUUUGAAUACUGUAUGCAUAGAUAUAUGUAACAACCAAUGCUCCAAAAUAAUUAAAUGUGUAGCAUCAAUAGGUAUGCUGCUCAUAAAAUUGUCAUAAUGCACAUGUCAAUGCCUAAGCCAAUAUUGACAGUAUAAAUGCCUGCAAAAAAGGCGGCAAAGUCUGACUAUAAAAUGUACUAUAACCAAGAGCCGAGUUUAUGAUUCCUUGACACAAAUCAAAAAUUGGAUCAUAUACGGCACCCAAAAUAGACAUGUUUAUGAUAGCUGAUCAUAACAGGAUGUCUUGUAACAUCAACCGACAACUCCUCAAUAACAAAAAUUCUGCUCCAAAAUAAACAAACUUUUGACAGCAAUCAACUGAACACGAUAAAAAAAAUCUCCUGCUCAUGUAAGUUUACGUGUACAACACGGGCCUAGAUGUCCACGUUCAUUAAGCCCAAAACUAGAAACUGAACACGUCACUGACCACUCUAAUUUCGGGCUGCCCAGAAUCCUCAAAUCUUCAUCAAGCCAACAACUUUACUGAAAAAAGAGGACUACUUUACUGAAAGUUGUAGGUCGAUUGAGCUAGUACCUUUGAGGCCAAUUCAGAUGGGGGCUCACUGUGACUGCCGGUGUUGUCAAUAUCUGGGGGAAACAUUGAAAAAAUCUUCCGUGUCUUGAACUUGAGAUGUAGAACUUGAGGAACGAUAAUCGGUAACACCAUAUUUCUCUCCAUCCCCGCACUCGUCGUCGUCCUCCCCUUCCUCUAGCAAUGCCAGAUCUGGGACGCCCUCGGUUGCGACCGGCUGGGAACAGAAGUUGCCCAUGACCAGGAGAAGAUGAAGACUUGAGGAUUUGCUG
Molecule: long non-coding RNA, 976 nt
Filed under: Triticum aestivum (bread wheat)
Lineage: Eukaryota; Viridiplantae; Streptophyta; Magnoliopsida; Poales; Poaceae
Description: long non-coding RNA (TAES_LNC013674)
Source: RNAcentral